GGCAGUGUCCUCCAAGUGCUUCCGGGUCAUCUGGAGAAUCUGGCCGUACUGCUGAUUGGAUACAUUGACCAACCUGAUCGCCUCAUCUAAUUCUGUGUGCAGAGCAGGUACCUCAGGACAGUCUAGCAAAGAAGAAAGUAACGUGGAGAAGGAAAAAGUCCAUGAAACUUGGAGGAGGAGUCAUGAAGAAUUAUUAAUAACUAUCUUUUAGAAUAAGGACUUGAUAAGGGAUUCAUGAGACAAAUGAAGACAAUUCCAAGAGCUACUUUCCUGGACCUAUUCGCUUUCAACAGACUCAGG
Long non-coding RNA from Symphalangus syndactylus (siamang), 300 nucleotides. RefSeq lists it as uncharacterized. Lineage: Eukaryota; Metazoa; Chordata; Mammalia; Primates; Hylobatidae. The record is from RefSeq and is a predicted model, not a curated record.